Molecule: unclassified non-coding RNA, 229 nt
Filed under: Hevea brasiliensis (rubber tree)
Lineage: Eukaryota; Viridiplantae; Streptophyta; Magnoliopsida; Malpighiales; Euphorbiaceae
Source: RNAcentral
ACCAAGCUUGCAGUCUUCUUCCAAAGGAUCGGAGAUUUUGAUGUUUUUGGUCCACUUAAGCAGUCUGUCCAUAAAUGCAGAAGCAAUGUUUUCCUGUACUAUAAGCCGUGAUGUUGCACUACAAACUUGACCAGUAUUUGCAAAGAUGCCAAAAAGAGUCCACUCAGCAGCUAUAUCAAGGUUAUCGAUAUCGUCAAACACCACGAUUGGACUUUUUCCACCAAGCUCA